Molecule: ribosomal RNA, 437 nt
Filed under: uncultured bacterium
Lineage: Bacteria
Description: partial 16S ribosomal RNA
Rfam family: Bacterial small subunit ribosomal RNA
Source: RNAcentral
AGCGAACGCUGGCGGCAGGCUUAACACAUGCAAGUCGAGCGGGCAUCCUUGUGGUGUCAGCGGCAGACGGGUGAGUAACGCGUGGGAACGUGCCCUUCGGUUCGGAAUAACUCAGGGAAACUUGAGCUAAUACCGGAUACGUGCGAGAGCAGAAAGGUUUAUCUGCCGAAGGGUCGGCCCGCGUCUGAUUAGCUAGUUGGUGAGGUUACGGCUCACCAAGGCGACGAUCAGUAGCUGGUCUGAGAGGAUGCUCAGCCACACUGGGACUGAGACGCGGCCCGGACUCCUACGGGAGGGAGCAGUGGGGGAUAUUGGACAAUGGGGGCAGCCCUGAUCCAGCCAUGCCGCGUGAGUGAUGGCGGCCUUAGGGUUGUAAAGCUCUUUUCUCCGGGACGGUAAUGACGGUACCGGAGGAAUAAGCCCCGGCUAACUUCGUG